CCACAGCCUCUCCCACCGAGCGCCGAGGGAGCAAAUGGCGGCGGGGCCGAUUCCCGAGGCUUAAAUCCCCUCGGCCCCGCCCCGCGCAGCCGCGCUGGGGCCCCGCGCACCUGUGCGGACCCCGCCCUUCACACCUGUGCCGGCCCCGCCCCGCUCCGCCCGCGCCCGUAAAUGCCGGCGGAUCCGCGCCCGCUCCGCUUUGUGCGGUGAACGCUCAUCCUGCUCAUCCCGGGCUGCGGCGGGACCGUCGUUCGGGGCGCUGUGCGGAGCCCGGCACCGGGGGCUGCUCCCGGCGCUGCGCCGAGCCCGAGGCGCUGAGAGCACAGGACAUCCUGAGUGGGAAGGGAUACACAAGGACCACCAAGUCGAGCCCUUAUGUGAAUGGCUCCUCUGGGGAUUGAACCCACACCUGGGCAUUCUCAGUACACUGCUCCAACCAAGCCAAUCUCAGCUCCUGGCAAUGUCCUGCCUGGGAUGGGAAUGCCAAGUGCCAGCAAGGAUUUACCCAACAGCUGUCAAGGUGCUCGUUCCAUGGCCCUUUCCAGGGAGAAAUGAGCAAGGCAAGGCCUGAGGGUUCACUUGGUCCAUGGCCAAAGUUCUUCUGAAGAGUGUCAGGGCUGCUCCUGCCUGCAGAGGGGCGUUUCCUGCAGGUGCCCUGGGGAUGCCAGGGAGGUGCCUUUGCCCACAGUGCCUUUCUCCUGCCCCUCUCCAGUCCGAGGCCUCUUCUCCCUUCCCUGCCAGCUGCUGCCAAGGAAGGAGGACACAGUGAGUGCUGAGUUGACCUCCAAAUAGUCCUUCCCUCACCUUGAGAUGACCUGAGAUUUUACCCCCAAAAUGUCCCCAUCUGUCUCCUUCUGAGUUCCUCAUUUUUUACAAGGAAGCAUUCUUUCUCUGCUCUGGAGACUACCACAAGAUUUGGCCCCAAAACUUUCCCCACCUGUCCACUACCUCUUUCCUCAUUUCCACCUCCAUCUUUUCAUUCUUUGCCCUACAGAUGCUUUCAAUUUUUACCCCUCCGAACUUCCCUACCUGUCCAUAAGUGAUUACCUCAGUUUACCCCAUCAAGUGCAUUCUCUCUGCUACAGAUCACCUCAGAUUCUACCCCCAAAAUUUUCUGUACCUCUCCACCACUGAGUACUUCAUUUUUACUUCAAAAUACUCAUUUUCUACCAUGGAGAUUCCCUCAAGUUUUACCCCCCAGAUUUACCCACCUGUCCACAGCAAUUCCCUCAGUUUACCUCAGGAUGCUCCUGCUCUCUCCUAGAGAUGACCUCACAUUUUACCCCCUCAGUUUUCCCUACCUGCCCAAUUCUGAUCACCUCCUUUUUACCUCAAAAUAGGAGUUCUUUCUUCUACAGAUGAACUCGGAUUUUAUUACCAAAAUGUCUAUUUUGUCCCCUGUACACUGACUAGAUUUUAAAACCAAAACCACACAGGUUAUGUCUGUCUUAUCCCCAAAAUGUUCAUUCUGCCCCCUACAAAUUAGGUCAGAUUUUUUCUCAAAAACCCUUACUGUUCCUACAGAAUUACCUCCGGGUUUGCCCCCCAAAUUCUACCUAAUGCUGACUACUGAUCACCUCAUUGCUUCCUCAGUAUGUUCAUUCUUUGCCCUACAGAUCUUCCCAAGUUUUACACCCCAAAUUUCCUUGCCUUGCCCCAGUGACUGCCUCAGUUCAUGUCAGUGGUCACACUCUCCCUAGAGAUUACCUCAAGUUUAACUUAACCCCCAAAUUUUCCUUAACUGCCCACAACUUAUUACCUCAUUUUUACCUCAAAAUAUUCAUUCUCAACCUUUAGAUUAUUUCAAGUUUGACCCCCCAAAAUUCCCCUACCUGUCCACUACUGAUUCCCACAUUCUUCCUUCAAUAUUUAUUUCCUUUCUACCAUGUAGCUUCUAUCAAGAUUUACCCCCAAAGUUUUCCAUCUACUACUGAGUACCUCAUUUUUACCUCAAAAUGUUCUUUCUACAGCUUAUUUAAUGUUAUUUUUACACAAGUUUCCCUACCUGCCCACAACUGAUUCCCUCAUGUUACCUCAGUGUGUUCAUGCUCUCCCCUAGAGAUUAGCUCAGAUUUAGCCCCCAAAUUUUCCCCCAUGCUCAGUACUCAUCACCUCCUUUUUCCCUCCAAGUGUUCAUUCUCUACUCUUGAGAUUUUGUCAAGUUUUGCCUCCAAAAUUUUCCUUAUUUGUCUACUACUCAUUUUUAUGCCAAAAUAUUCAUUCUGUCCCCUACAGAUUACAUCAAAUUUUACCCCCCAAUUUUUCCUUCCUGUGCAAUAUUAACUCUUUUCUGCCCCAAAAAUGUUCUCUCCCCUAAACAUCACCUCAGCUUUUCCCUCAAAAAUGCCACCUCGCUCCCCUCGACAUCCCCUCCCAUUUUCCUACACAAACAAUUCUUGUGUCCCCUCUCAGUCACCCCAGGUUUUCAGCUGAAAAUGUCUCCUCUGUCCCCUCGAAGUUAUCCCAGGUUUUCCCAGUGAGGAGCUGCAAGGAAUUCAGGCAGGACCAAUGACACCAGGGAACAGCUGUAAAUUCAGAGGCAGAGAGAGAAGAUCUACCAGGAAAGGGGAAAGGUUCAGAAAACAUUUCUGCAAUUAAUUAAUUAAUUAAUAAUUCUUUCCAGUUCCCCACUGAGAAGAACACAACCUCACAGCUGUUAAGGCCUGACAGUUCCCUGCAGGGAGAGCUCAGCACAUGUGCCCAGAGGCAAUCCCAGCAUCUGCAAGAAAGAAAGAAGCAGCAAAAGUGACUUUUGCAAGCAAACUCUGAAGCUGACAAGCCCAGAAGCUCUGUCCCUCCACUCUGGAAGGAAAGGAUACUCCCAGGGAUGAGGCACAUUCCCAGCAAACUCUCCCAGCACAGCCUGGAGGCAGCGCUGGAGC
This is a long non-coding RNA of Corvus hawaiiensis (hawaiian crow), 2882 nucleotides long. RefSeq lists it as uncharacterized. The transcript has 5 exons. NCBI's taxonomy places the organism in Eukaryota, Metazoa, Chordata, Aves, Passeriformes, Corvidae. The record is from RefSeq and is a predicted model, not a curated record.